Long non-coding RNA from Cucurbita moschata (crookneck pumpkin), 916 nucleotides. RefSeq lists it as uncharacterized. The transcript is spliced from 2 exons. The record is from RefSeq and is a predicted model, not a curated record. Lineage: Eukaryota; Viridiplantae; Streptophyta; Magnoliopsida; Cucurbitales; Cucurbitaceae.
ACAAAUAAAAAAACAAAGAAAAAGAAAAAAGAAAAAAAAUCUAGUCAUCUGAAAACCCGCGAGUUUUUCGGUGACACCGGAAAUUUCAUGGGGGUCAAGGAAUCACGUCCCCGGCCCCCACAACUCACCCAAAUCUCCAGCCAAACACCAUCUAUGUCCUCGGCACGCUCCCAAAACACUUGCAUAAGAAAAACAUAGAGGAAAGAGGGAUAGAGAAGUUGGCGAAGUUUUCAAGCGAGGAUCCGAAAACGAAACCCAUGAACGAAACAACCCAAAACCGACGUCAAAACACCAAGUUACAUUGUGAAAGAGACCCCCAACACUGUACAACAACCCAAGGUCGUUUCAAGCCACGAAACUCCAAGAAAGGAAGGAGGGAAGACAAACAGAGAGGGAGAAGAAGGAAAAGGACAGAAAUCAGCAUUAGAAAUGACGAACAAAGAAGAGAUAAAUGUCGCCACAAAGUCGCAUAGGAAGUCGGGUAAGGAAGAAGAGAUCUAACGGAUCUGAUUCGAAUCUAUCCGUGACCCGAGGCCUAAAAACCGCUCGGCUCAGCCAAACCUAUAGCGGCCCAAGCUCGAGGUCCAAACUCACCUUCGUCCAGCUCGUUCUGAAACCCGCGCUACGACCCACGAACCAACCCAAGAACCCGAACAGGAUACUCGAGAACCCAAUCCAGCAGCCCAGCCCAAGUUCCCUCUGCCCACAACCCUUUUCGGUCCAGUAGCCGGAGGCCCAAGCUCAUUGUUAGAUAAAUCCCUAUUUUAAAGUUAAAUCACAAAAUUAAGUUGAGUGGAAUGACCACAUCCGGUCCAAUGAAGUUAAUUGAGUUGCCACUCCUAUCCAUUUUCAAAGUAGAAUUGUUAUUUAAAUAUGCCAAUAUAAUCAGAAAUAAAUCACUAGUAUUCAGUAUUCA